Macaca mulatta (Rhesus monkey) is the source of this 5900-nucleotide non-coding RNA. Lineage: Eukaryota; Metazoa; Chordata; Mammalia; Primates; Cercopithecidae. The record is from RefSeq and is a predicted model, not a curated record.
UGCAGGUUGGGGAGGUCCCUUGCCUUCCUCAAGUCACAGAACACAUUAGUGGUACACCCAGGCAUCAUGUCGUCAUUGGUCUAACGCUUCAGCUGGUGCUUGGGCCUUCCAUGACCUUCUCCACUCUUCUUGUGAACCCCGAUGACACCAUUGCAUGUCCCCUGUGAGGCCAUCUGGUUGUCAGAGAGGAUGAUCCAGGCUAGAGAGGACUCGCAGGCAGGACCACAGGACGCUCCGGAACGGGCUCCUCUGCGGAGGCUUCCUCCCAUCCCCAGCCUCCCGCCACACCUCUGCACACAUUGGAAUCGGCCUUGUCUGCUCCGCUGUGGCCUGGGUCAGGUCAGCUUCUGGAACGGUGUGAAAGAACAGAGAGGGUGAUGUAUUCCGGGCGACUCCCAGCCAGGCCCUAGGAAGGCUGGUCCCUGGGUCCUCGCCCCAUCAGGUGUUCUCUCCUUGGUCUCAUUCUUGGGCCUUGUUCCUGUCCCCCGUCACUCCUAGGUCCACCGGAGCCCACACCUGCUUCUUUCCCUGCCCACCGCCCCUUGAGGGCUCCUGCCCCAGGCCUCUGAGACCCCAGAGAGGAACGAGGACGAUGGAGAGGGCCGUACUGGGAGCAGGGGGGUGACGGGGGAGGAGGGGCCAGGACUCUGAGCAGAGGGGAAGCAGAGAGGAGGAGGCUGCCUGCAGCCACAGCACAGGAGCCAGGAGCAGACUCUGCAGAAGGGAGACCAAUGGCGCAUGCAGGUGGCCCCAGCAACAGCUGCCAGCACCAGUGUGGGCCCAGCCCCUGUGACAGAGCGCUGCUGGUGGCCCGCCUACUCCAGCCCCACCUGCCAUGGGCUGUGGGCCAAGGCAGGGCUGGCUAUAUGCUAUUGAGUAUCAGGUGGGAGGAAGGGAGUCUGAGGCAGGGGCCAUCGGGGGCACUUCCAGCUUUGGGCUCCUGACUGAGACUCUGGGUGCCCCCGGAUGACCUCUCCAGGUAAGCCUGGGCACAUGUGGCACAAAUUGCCUCUAAACUCUGCCAGCUCAGAACUUUCUGGGCCAGAAUGCGAUGGGCGUCAACCCCUGAGAGAAGGUGGCGGGGAGAAACUUCCCCCGCCCUCCAUCCCGUCUCUCCGCUUCCCUUCAAGUGGGGGCAGUGGCCAUGGCUCCCUGCAGUGCCACAGUGCGGCUGGGCAUCUGUUUGCAGCUCUGGAGAAAGGGGAGACACAGGAUAGUGGGGGUGGCCUGGCCUCAGCCCCACCCAGGGGCCUCUAAGAGUUGAGCUUGGGCUGCAUUCUCAGCUGCACUCUGCUGGACUGCAUUCUCAGCUGCACCAGAAGGCAGACACCAAAGCGAUCCGAGCUCUCCCCUGUGCUGGGGCCGCCUCCUCCCUCGCUGGCCGGGUGUAUGUUAGUUUCCUCGGGCUCCGCCAAGCACCACACACAGAGUGGCUUUCACAGCAGACGUCUAUUGUCUGGCAGCGAUGGAGGCUGGAAGUCUGAAAUCAAGGUGUGGGCAGGGCUGUGCUCCCUCCAGACGCCAGGGGAGGAUCCCUCUGCCUCUUCCAGCUUCCAUCAGCACCUGCUGCCCCUGCGUGCCGGUGCCUCUACCCUUGCCCUGGCCCCUACCACUCUUCAGUUCCCUGCCCACCCUUUUGUCUUCUUGACCAGACGUGGAGCUCCCUGAGGGCAGGGACUGGGGCUUAUUAUAUCUCCUCAAGCUCGGCCUGGUACUGCAGCCCAGGAGGGUCUGUUGGAUGAGCGGGUGAUGGAUUUGGUGAGAGAUGGGGAGUGACAGGCUCAGAGGUGCAGGCAUGGGGGUGGCCAGGGUGCACUCUGGGACAUUUCUGGAGGUUGAGGGUUAGCACCGGGACUUAGGCUGCACCAAAGUGCAGGAGGCCCAGAAGGAGACAGGGUACUCCGAGCAGGGGCAGCUCUACCAAGGUGAGCAGCAGAGAGGCCGUUCUGAGGCUGGCGCUGAGCUGGGGCUCAGGGCGGGGAGGUGGGAAGGCAGGAGAUACAGCUUGUGAAGGGUGGGCUGGGUGUGGAGUGGGGCACGGGAGCUGGGAACAGCUCAGUCACUCCAGUGGCUUGCACAUGUGGCACCAGGGAAGAGGGGCCUGCUGGCUUGUGUGGACAAGGAGGAGGGGCCUGUGGUUCUGCGGGCGGGAGCAGGGAGUACACGGGGAGCCACUCUCCCUCCUUCCCUCCCUCCUCUCACUGAUUACCCUCAGCUGCGGGUCAAUCUCACUGUAAAAGACGGCCCUGCCCCCUCCAUGGCCUGGGGAGGCUGAGGGGUUUCAUAAAAGGGUCUGCUCAUUUGUGACUUUAAUCCUCAGCUGUGAUUUUAUCUCCGCGCGAGAAAGCUCUUUCUGUUCAUCGAUCCCACGCAGGCAUUAGCUGGAGAGCCUCAGCUAUUAGCUCCUGAUGGCACCAAAGUUAUCCAUUGACCCUGGCUCUUGGCCACAGCACAGGGGCUGGGGGCUGCGAGACAAGUGUGGGCUGCACUGGUGGUUCCGAGAGCUGGCGAUCCUUCAUAUUCAGGAACACUGCAAGCUGCGACCAACGCUGACUGCCUGGAAUCAGCCAGCGUGGGAACCUGGACACUGCAGAAACUAGCAAACCACACAGCUGAGUGCCGCCCUUCUCCUUCCCAGAGGAGCAGCUUCCCAGCCCCGCACCGUGUUUACCCUGCGUGGUCACUGGGUUGCCGCUGGCAGACAAGGCCCUGCCUCCCCUUUGAGCACACAAGCCAUCGAGGCUCUCUUCUCAGGAGCCCCAAAUGGUCUCCCGCCACUAUGGAUCCCUGGACUUCUCUCCUGGAAGCUCCAGGGUGGCGGCUGCCUGGCCUUCAGAGACACCCACUGCCUCAGACCAGGCAGCCUGACUUGGAGACCCUUCCCCAUAGGAGCCGGGUUCCCCUUCAGCCUGCACAGCCCACCCUUCAGGCCUAGUGGGAAGCCCACCCUCUUUGGGGAAGUCCCCAGCAGCCUGGCAGGAGGCGUCUCUCCUCCCCGGGGCUCUUUCCUCGGGCUGUCCUGGGGCUCAGCUUUGUCUCUCACCUGGUGGUGUGGGCCUCGAGGGCCGGGCCUGUUGUGGGCCAGACCCUACCUGUUGGAGAUGCAGCCACCAUGGUGCUCAAACAACUGACCUCGUGCUGCCUUCAUGUGGAGGGACAAAGACCUGGGGGCAGACGACUAACUGGACCAGCAUCUUUUAUGCAGAAAACGCAUCCCUCUCGCCAUUCCUAUUUGACCAAAGAUAUCCCGGAAGGGGGUCGUAGAGGCCAGCUGAAUCCCUGUCCAAAGCAGGGCAUCAGAAAGGGCACUUGGCCUCCCAGUACGAGAGGUAGGGUGGCUGCAGCCAGCACAGUGGCUACAGGAGGUUGGAGCCACUCCGGAUCACACUGGCCACAGCCUGACCUGUUCAUUGCCCGGGCCCUGAGCACCUGGCCUGGUGCUGAACUCCUUUGGGAACUUCAGGUCUGAUGGAGAGGUGCUCCGUCCACUCUGCCCAGUGUCUGCCCUCUGCCCAGACGCCCCAAAAGUAGAAACAGAGAGAAGGCGAACUUUGGCUUCGGGGGCCCAGCGCCACCACUUCCAACCUACGUGGCGUUGGUCAAGUGGCCUGGCUUUGCCGAGCCGCUGCCUCACGUCGCCCAUGGGGAUGAUGGAGCCGCCCUCCAGGAAGCUCCAGGGAUUCAUGAGACCAGGCGUGCAAGAGCUGCAGGUCUCAGCAACUCAUCACUAGGUGCUGGUGCCUGCUCACAAGGGACAGCUGCCCACCCAGCUCUGGGCCAAGGCUGGGGGCUCCCGCCCAAGCCCUGGGCAGCUGUUGAUACAUCGCUGACCGCAGGCAAGCCUCCCUGCCAGCCCUGCUGGCCUGCGCGGGACCAGGGAAGAGGGCGAGGCCUAUAUUUAUCUGCAGUGUGAGGAGGCUUGUCUGGCAGUCAGAUGCAAAUGCCUUCAUCCCAUCUGGGCUGGGAGCUGCUCUCAGCGGACAAGUCUUUUCUGCCUGCUCCACACCAGCCUGGUGCCAGUGACAGGAGUGGCGGGAGCUUCACGGUGCCUGGAGGCUCGUUCCUGGGUUGCGAAAGUGCCUGAGUGACAGAGGCUGAGGCUGAGCUUAGGCGAGUUUGCUGAGGCUUAGGAGGAAGCCGGAUCAGAAGAGGCCGCAGAAGCCAUACUGCCCAUACAUCCCUCCCCCAGCGGUGGCCCACAGGUGCCUGGCCUCAGCUCAGCUAUACUGGAGGGGAGGUAGCCAGCGCCCUGCCGGUGUCUCGGUUCUAAGACCUCAUUUGUACAGUGGAGAACAGGAGGCAGCCACCCAGUGACCUUCAAAGCCUCCAAGAGAAGCAAAGGGACAGGUGUAAGGAAGUAAGCCCUGACCCUGGGGACUCACCAAGCCCUGAUGAAGUUACAAGCUGGGCCCUGACCCUGGGCACACACUAAGCUCUGACCCUGGUCUCAGGCUGAGCCCUGACCCUGCUCACACGCUGAGCCCUGACCUUGGUCACGUGCUGAGCCCUGAUUCUGGUCACAAAUGGAGCCCUGACCCUGCUCACACAAUGAACCCUGAUCCUGGUCACACACUGAGCCCUGAUCCUGAUCCCACACUGAGCCCUGAUCCUAGUCACACACUGAGCCCUGAUCCUGGUCACACACUAAGCUCUGACCCUGGUCUCAGGCUGAGCCCUGACCUUGGUCACGUGCUGAGCCCUGAUUCUGGUCACAGAUGGAGCCCUGACCCUGCUCACACAAUGAACCCUGAUCCUGGUCCCACAAUGAGCCCUAAUUUUGGUCACACACUGAGCCCUGACCCUGGUCCCACACUGAGCCCUGACCCUGGUCACACAUUGAGCCCUGAUCCUGGUCCCACACUGAGCUCUGACCCUGGUCCUCAAUCAGCUGAGCCUCGACCCUGAUCCCUGAUUGGCUAUGUUCUGUUCCAGUGUGGAAGGGAGAGGCCAGGGCAUGAGGUGGGAUGGGCUAGGGCAGCCCCUCUGCACAUCUGGGACUCAGGUCAGAACACAAUCCUCCCUACAUGAGAGAAUAAAUUCCUGCACGUGGCGUUUCUUCAAGUAGCUGGGCUUGAAGCCUGCACUGGGCUUGCCCUCCAGUGACAGCAGCAGGUUUCAAGGAGACAGCCAUGAGACCGUCCCUCAGGCUGGGGACUUGAUCAUGCUCACCUCAGAGCCUCACCUCCUGGAGAGUGAGCAAAGUGAGGGUCAUCAACCCACUUUACAGAUGAGGAAAUGGACGCCCAGGAAGUGGCCUCGAGAUCUCGCCCAGAGAAUAGCUGGUCCUGAAGACUCUGUAUCUGAGCCACACACUGCUCUGCCCACACCCCCAGGGGUCUCAGCACCCCCAGCGCAUUUUUCCCUGCUCCUGGCCUGCACUGUGAGCUCCCACUGGCAGUUCCUAGCAAGCACAUGUUGGCUGUGCCAGGCCCCAAGUGCCUCAUGAGCUAAAGAGGGUGUCCUGCUAUUCCGGGGCUCACUGCCCAGCCUCUGCAUGAGUAGCCUUGCUCUGUGCCUGUCCUGGCCCAGCAUUGCAUGUCCAGAGAGGAGACGGAGUUCGCCUUCUCUGUGCUGUGGGACUGACUGUGUCGGGGUGGGGUGGGGGGAAGCAAAAACCAAAUCCUUCGUUUCCCCGACUGCCUGACCUUGCCUCUCUCCAAACCUCAUGACGUCCAGCUCGAGGGAAGUGAAAGUCACUCCGAUAUCUGGAAAUACAGUUGAUGAGGCAAUUAAAUCCCCUGUCCCUUCUCCUUCCGGGGGGUCCUCUAGGGUCCUGGGAGUCCAGCCAACAGGAAUCCGUUUUAUGAUCCUGAGUCCCUGCCAGCAGGAAGGCUGGGCGAGGCCGGUCCCUAUGUGCCCACGACGCUCUCACAUAAAUAUGCAUCACUUAAAAUUUAAUA